RNAcentral lists this ribosomal RNA (119 nucleotides) under Cyprinus carpio carpio. Lineage: Eukaryota; Metazoa; Chordata; Actinopteri; Cypriniformes; Cyprinidae. The record is from RNAcentral.
GCUUACGGCCAUACCACCCUGAGCUCACCCGAUCUCGUCUGAUUGCGGAAGCUAAGCAGGGUCGGGCCUGGUUAGUACUUGGAUGGGAGACCGCCUGGGAAUACUUGGUACUGGAAGCU